GGCGGCUCGAGUGGUGGCCACUAUUACUGGGCUUAAAGCGUUCGUAGCUGGUUUGUUAAGUCUCUGGGGAAAUCUACCGGCUUAACCGGUAGGCGUCUCAGGGAUACUGGCAGACUAGGGACCGGGAGAGGUGAGAGGUACUCCAGGGGUAGGAGUGAAAUCCUGUAAUCCUUGGGGGACCACCUGUGGCGAAGGCGUCUCACCAGAACGGCUCCGACAGUGAGGGACGAAAGCUGGGGGAGCAAACCG
Molecule: ribosomal RNA, 249 nt
Filed under: uncultured euryarchaeote
Lineage: Archaea; Methanobacteriati; Methanobacteriota
Description: partial 16S ribosomal RNA
Rfam family: Archaeal small subunit ribosomal RNA
Source: RNAcentral